Molecule: long non-coding RNA, 3022 nt
Organism: Rhea pennata
Lineage: Eukaryota; Metazoa; Chordata; Aves; Rheiformes; Rheidae
Exons: 2
Source: RefSeq, a predicted model, not a curated record
GAGCGGCCGGGGCGGGCGCUGCGUCAGGCCCCGGUGUGCCCCCCCCUCGCCGCGCCCCCCACCGCGUGUGGUCGGCGCUCCGAGCGCGAGUUGUACUAAACUUCAGUUUUUCAGGCUCCAGAUACCCCAUUAGACAUAGCAAGGCUGGAAGAGCCGUAGGAGUUCGCUCCUCCCGCGGCACCUUCGGGCGCUGCUACCUGCGCCGCCGCCACCUGUGCCGGCCCCGCCGAAAACCGUCGGGGACUCCAGGUGUCGAUGGAAGAGAAACAAUUGCAUUGUCUUCAAUAUUAAGGACUUAAAGCUUUUAUACAGAAGUCUGACAGUGCCAAACUGCUUAGCUGCUAAGUUGCAAUGUGUUGUGUGAGAUAUUCUACUGUGACUGGAUCGUCAACAAUCAGUUUAUGGCUCUGAUGUUCCAUCCUGGCUCUGUUAAUCACUACUCUAGCACCAGCAGCCAGGUCUGCAUAAUCAUCAUGAUAAAAAGAAAUCACAAAGACUCUUCCAUUAAUUAACAGCAAAUCAUUAUUCAAGAAAGAGCAACCUAUUACAUUUUUCUUAAAUCAGAAACUGCUGAAAAAGCAAUGUAGAUGGAGACAGAAAACACAAAUUUGAAGCAGUAUAUAGAAGUAACUUUCUUAUUCUGAGAAAUUUUUAUAUAAAUUUCAGGCCAUAACAGCUUUUAAGGAAAGUGGAUUUAUAGUAUUAAGUAUGGAUUUAACUCCUCCAAAAACACAUUCUGAAAAAAAACUGUCCCCUACUGUAGAUGCCAUACUUCAUGGUGAUGGUGUUGUACCACUCUCUCCACCACGCAGUGCUAGGAAACUGGAGGAACAGCAUUAUCACAGUCUAUAAGAACAGAGGGUUGCUGAAGUACAUCCUUAUUCUUGUGCAUUACUAGCUAGUAUAGAAAAUCCAAGGCAGUUUCACAUUUUAAUUUCCCUGAUAGUAAAUCCUGUUUAACAGGUUUCUGAUUUUCCACUUCCCUAGUCAUGCCCUGACAUAGCCCUUCACCCUCCUAUUCUGCUACAAAUUCAGCCACUUGUAAGUCAAUGAAAACAUUCAGCUUAAAAAAGUAAAUACUUUUUUUUUUAAGUUGGAUCUUUUUUUUUUUUUUUUUUUGAGCUGAUUACUAUAAACAGCUGUAAACUUCUUCCGUCACUUGGAAGCUCCAUUUUGGGGAGCAUCUCCAUGGUCAGUAUCAGUCAGUCAAAGACAACACUGCUACAGAAAGAGGUGAUUCCCCUGUGCUCUGUCUCUUAAGUGUAUCUUCUCAGUCUCUCUCUGUGUCAGCACAAGCCGUUCUACAGUUCCAUGUUAAGUCAGAUCACUGUGUUGGUAUAACUCAAAAUUAAGCUGAGUUUUAUUUUCAUCUCUUGUGAAAGCAACCUAAGAGGAUGCUUUCACAUUAUAAUAACAUGAUCUAAUUGGAGGUGGCAACAAAAAGCAACAGUUCUGUCCUUCCCAUACACUUCCCAUACAUUCCUGAAGCUUCCCUUGUGCUGGAUUUAACAAUCACACAACUUUAUGACAACUCACAAAAAAAAAGAUACCUUUUUCAUCAGAUCAGUGAGUUUAGGACUAUCUCCUUCAGUAACAGCUUGCACUCACAGUAGGCUAAGUAUAGCACCAAGUUGUACCCUUAGUGUGAGGUUAUACAACACAGCUGAACCACUCUCAUAGUCUGACCAUUAACAAUGGACGUCCCACCCCAGCUUCUUCUUUCAAUUUCUGUUUCCGUUAUGCAGUUUGGAGGUUCAAAUAGUUGCACAUUGAAUCAAUUUAACAAGCUAACCCAGCAAAACAUUUGAAGAUUUUUCCUGUGAUGUUCGUGAAUUGAAUCAACUUGGAAGAGGUCAAGGAAGCAUCAGAAACAGCACCAAGGAGGAGAUGAAAAUGCAAAGCUUAGAGCAGAGACAGGAGGAAGGAGAAGCGCUCCCCAGGAGCAUGCACUUGUGUGAGAGUUUAAACUCAUCUAAACCAGUGCUACUGUGACGCUCUCCUGUGGAUUGUUUACCCUUUCAUGGAGCCUUUGCUGACUCUUACCUGCCCUGAGUAAGCCAGUGCAAAAAAAUCUUUUCUUCCUGUCUCAGCUUACUGCCACGCAGGUCUCUAACCUGGCUCACCAUGGCUUAGCAAGCCAUCAAAGCCAGCACAGAAACAACUGUGGGAGAGCACAGCCAGGAGCAAGACCUUUGCCUUCUGGUGACAACCAGCCACUACCAGUCAGUUUAGUGGAAACACAAAACUGCACCUUGAUAUGAGAUGUAUGCUUAGGCAGUUUUGCUAACCAAUCUGCUGAGUUUCCACACAGUCUUCUCUUCAUUCAACCCUUAUCUGAAGGAAGAUACUCCUUGGGGAGGCAAAUGUUCUCAAGUGUUAUUGCACAGAGGUUCCAUACAUGAAAGGAGACAAGCACCAAUUUGAGCCUAAAGUUAUCUCCUAACUAUCCACGAGUGUUUCCAAUAUCAUCCUGGUUUAUUUUGCUGAAUUUGAGCCCUAUGUUUGCCUUUUUUCUCCCCUUUAGUGUGCUUUUUGCUGCUGCAACCAGUCAGGAGCAACUUCUGCUAUCCAAGGCUUGUCCCGGCUGAAGAGACACAAAUAAAGCUGAGUAAGAUGAUUGAAAAAAUAGUAAGAGAUCAAUCAAGUUUUAAAGAUCAAAAUAUUUCCCACUGGCCCCAUAAGGAUCUUUCAGCUAUAUUCAAACUGAUUAUGUAUGAAACUAAUACCUUCAUACCCUAAUACCAGUCUCUCAAACCACCCUGUCCACCUUCACAGUAUUUUUCAUAAAUCCAGUCUUUAAAGACACAGCCCCACAUCUGUAAUGGGAUGCUCUAUGGAACAGUAACACUGGAAACAAUGCCUGCAAAAGCCAAAAAGAUUGGAUCACCAGGCGCAUAAAGCUUCCUCACAGAUCUUUCUUCUUGAAGCUUGGCAACAGAUUUUUCUUCUAUCCCCAGCACAACUUUAUCCAGCCCUCAAAUUCCAAAAUGUUAAAUCAGAAUAAAAAGAACAGUAUUUCCAA